RNAcentral lists this unclassified non-coding RNA (240 nucleotides) under soil metagenome. RNAcentral's name for it is "partial contains 5.8S ribosomal RNA, internal transcribed spacer 2, and large subunit ribosomal RNA". The record is from RNAcentral.
AACGGUCUAUACCUGCGGUACCUGCGGAGGGAUCAUUAAUGAAUUAAAUUUUGGUGUGGGUUGUAGCUUUCCCCUUCGCGGGGGUAAGUGCUCACUUGCGUCAUUUUUUUAUUUAUCCACCUUUGUGCACUUCGCUAGGCAAUGAUUUAAUUUUGAAGUUGGGGAUGAACCGCGCCUGUGGCGGUGACUUGGCUUCAAAGUUGGGUUGCUGUCUAUGUUUUUUUAUAUACACCAUUAAAA